GAUCAUGGCUCAGGAUGAACGCUAGCGGCAGGCUUAACACAUGCAAGUCGAGGGGCAGCGGGAUGUAGCAAUACAUUGCCGGCGACCGGCGGAUGGGUGCGUAACGCGUAUGCAACCUACCUUAUACAGGGGAAUAACCUUUCGAAAGGGAGACUAACACCCCAUAGUAUUGAUUUAAGGCAUCUUAGAUUAAUUAAAUAUUUAUAGGUAUAAGAUGGGCAUGCGUAUGAUUAGCUAGUUGGUAAGGUAACGGCUUACCAAGGCGACGAUCAUUAGGGGUUCUGAGAGGAAGGUCCCCCACACUGGUACUGAGACACGGACCAGACUCCUACGGGAGGCAGCAGUGAGGAAUAUUGGUCAAUGGGCGCAAGCCUGAACCAGCCAUGCCGCGUGCAAGGAAGACGGCCUUAUGGGUUGUAAACUGUCUUUUACAUAAGACUAACCGUAUAUUUGCGAAUAUACCUGAAUGUAUUAUGAGAAUAAGGAUCGGCUAACUCCGUGCCAGCCGCCGC
This 512-nucleotide ribosomal RNA is filed under the name uncultured bacterium. Its description in RNAcentral is "bacterial SSU rRNA". It matches the Rfam family "Bacterial small subunit ribosomal RNA", at positions 15 to 518 of the family's 1533-position model. The record is from RNAcentral.